AAGGCACCAACAACUGAAGAACCCAACCAUAAAAGGUGAGACACCUUCCAACAAUCAAUUACAAAAACCAAACAAAAGGGAGGGAGGGAGAGAGAGAGAGAUUUCAGAUUUAUAACACUAUAAUACACGGACACGGGUAGCUAGAGAGUAGAGACAGAGAGCAGCAGGAGGCAAAGGCAUGGAGCCUCACAUGGAGGGCGCGCUGCGGCAGGGCCUGUCGGAGGCGGAGCAGCGGGAGCUCGAGUCCGUGGUGCGCGCGCACCACACGUUCCCGGGUCGCGCGCCGGGGACGUGCACGUCGCUGGUGACGCAGCGCGUGGACGCGCCGCUCGCCGCCGUGUGGCCCAUCGUGCGCGGCUUCGCCAGCCCGCAGCGCUACAAGCACUUCAUCAAGUCCUGCGACCUCCGGUCCGGCGACGGCGCCACCGUCGGCAGCGUCCGCGAGGUCACCGUCGUCUCCGGCCUCCCGGCCUCCACCAGCACCGAGCGCCUCGAGAUCCUCGACGACGACCGCCACAUCCUCAGCUUCCGCGUCGUCGGCGGCGACCACCGCCUCCGCAACUACCGCUCCGUCACCUCCGUCACCGAGUUCCAGCCGGGGCCCUACUGCGUCGUCGUCGAGUCCUACGUCGUCGACGUCCCCGAGGGGAACACCGAGGAGGACACGCGCAUGUUCACCGACACCGUCGUCAAGCUCAACCUCCAGAAGCUCGCCGCCAUCGCCACCUCCUCCUCAUCCUCGCCGCGGCCCUCCGGCGGCGGCGGCGGCGGCACGGAUCACUGAUCCAUCGCGCCCAUCAUGUCUUCUCUUCAAUCCUCAUGGGGCACCACCACACAUGCCUGCAUGCCUAUCAAGUGGAUCAUGUGAUGUGUGGGGAUCAACAAGGGAAAAUUGCUACGGGUACAAACUGGAGGGGAGGACACUUCACCUUCGCUUAAUUGCCUCUAUGCUCGACUGCGUCCAACCUUUUAUGCCAUCACCUAAUGAAGAAACUCUACUGAUCAUCAUGGUUGCUGAUGGAUUGCUUUCAACAUCUUUCCCAUAUGCCUCUUGGCUCUAUGGCAUGUUGCCAACCGUCAACGACCAUGCCAAUGCCAUGCUGCUCUAGCCCUGCACGUCCCCAACAUACCAAUCUUAGUAGAAAUAAUUACAUAUUGUGGAAUUAGAGAAAGGAUGGAUAUAUGUCAUAAAGUGCGUCAAAGGGUCUGCACAUGAUGUCCUUUUUAAAAUGCCAUAGAACUUAUAAGGUUUGGCUUUCUACUAUAUAUAUGUGAAGUAUCGUCGUCCCGCUCAUCAAAAUAAUAUAUAUUGGUUGUGAGAAGUCCCGGUAACAUAU
Setaria italica (foxtail millet) is the source of this 1337-nucleotide RNA transcript. It is a transcript of the gene named abscisic acid receptor PYL2, with no coding region annotated. NCBI's taxonomy places the organism in Eukaryota, Viridiplantae, Streptophyta, Magnoliopsida, Poales, Poaceae. The record is from RefSeq and is a predicted model, not a curated record. The transcript is spliced from 2 exons.